AUACGGAGGGUGCAAGCGUUACUCGGAAUCACUGGGCGUAAAGCGCGCGCAGGCGGGCUGAUAAGUUGGAUGUGAAAGCCUACGGCUCAACCGUAGAACUGCAUCCAAAACUGUCAGUCUAGAGUCUGGGAGGGGAAGAUGGAAUUAGUUGUGUAGGGGUAAAAUCCGUAGAGGUAACUAGGAAUACCAAAAGCGAAGGCGAUCUUCUGGAACAGUACUGACGCUGAGGCGCGAAAGCGUGGGGAGCAAACAGGAUUAGAAACCCUAGUAGUCC
This 274-nucleotide ribosomal RNA is filed under the name uncultured bacterium. RNAcentral describes it as "partial 16S ribosomal RNA". It matches the Rfam family "Bacterial small subunit ribosomal RNA", at positions 523 to 796 of the family's 1533-position model. The record is from RNAcentral.